CCGGAGGCCAUUGCUAUCGGAGUCCGAUUUAGCCAUGCUAGUCGCGCGGGUUUAGACCCGCGGCAGAUAGCUCAGUAACACGUGGCCAAACUACCCUAUGGACGGAGAUAACCUCGGGAAACUGAGGCUAAUAUCCGAUACAGCUCGCACGCUGGAGUGCAGCGAGCUGGAAACGUUCCGGCGCCAUAGGAUGUGGCUGCGGCCGAUUAGGUAGACGGUGGGGUAAUGGCCCACCGUGCCGAUAAUCGGUACAGGUUGUGAGAGCAAGAGCCUGGAGACGGAAUCUGAGACAAGAUUCCGGGCCCUACGGGGCGCAGCAGGCGCGAAACCUUUACACUGCACGACAGUGCGAUAGGGGGACUCCGAGUGCGAGGGCAUACAGUCCUCGCUUUUCUGCACCGUAAGGUGGUACAGGAACAAGUGCUGGGCAAGACCGGUGCCAGCCGCCGCGGUAAUACCGGCAGCACGAGUGAUGGCCGAUAUUAUUGGGCCUAAAGCGUCCGUAGCCGGCCGAGCAAGUCUGUUGGGAAAUCCACGCGCUCAACGCGUGGGCGUCCAGCGGAAACUGUUCGGCUUGGGGCCAGAGGACUCGAGGGGUACGUCCGGGGUAGGAGUGAAAUCCCGUAAUCCUGGACGGACCACCGGUGGCGAAAGCGCCUCGGGAGGACGGAUCCGACGGUGAGGGACGAAAGCUUGGGUCUCGAACCGGAUUAGAUACCCGGGUAGUCCAAGCUGUAAACGAUGCUCGCUAGGUGUGCCGCAGGCUACGAGCCUGCGCUGUGCCGUAGGGAAGCCGAGAAGCGAGCCGCCUGGGAAGUACGUCUGCAAGGAUGAAACUUAAAGGAAUUGGCGGGGGAGCACUAC
RNAcentral lists this ribosomal RNA (864 nucleotides) under uncultured Halosimplex sp. RNAcentral describes it as "bacterial SSU rRNA". It matches the Rfam family "Archaeal small subunit ribosomal RNA", at positions 17 to 882 of the family's 1478-position model. The record is from RNAcentral. Lineage: Archaea; Methanobacteriati; Methanobacteriota; Halobacteria; Halobacteriales; Haloarculaceae.